ACGACCUUACUUGAACAGGAUCUGUUCUAUAGGCUCGUACCGUUGCAUCCUUGACUAAUAAGGAGACAAGCACUCAAGCUUGGUUGAUGACGCAUGACCUUGUGGGCCAGAGCGUGAUUGACGGCCCGGAUCAUUUCCGUGUGAAUUGAUCCCACGGCUGUAGAGGAUCGUUCCUUGCCGGGCUUCGCUUGGUCAGGGUUGGCCCAUAGGUUGUCUGACAGGCC
Molecule: small nucleolar RNA, 224 nt
Filed under: Oryza meridionalis
Lineage: Eukaryota; Viridiplantae; Streptophyta; Magnoliopsida; Poales; Poaceae
Description: snoRNA Plant_U3
Rfam family: Plant small nucleolar RNA U3
About the family: Small nucleolar RNAs (snoRNAs) are involved in the processing and modification of rRNA in the nucleolus.
Source: Rfam by way of RNAcentral